This 254-nucleotide ribosomal RNA is filed under the name uncultured bacterium. RNAcentral describes it as "partial 16S ribosomal RNA". It matches the Rfam family "Bacterial small subunit ribosomal RNA", at positions 524 to 776 of the family's 1533-position model. The record is from RNAcentral.
CACGUAGGGGGCAAGCGUUGUCCGGAUUUAUUGGGCGUAAAGAGCUCGUAGGCGGCUCAGUAAGUCAGGUGUGAAACCUCCAGGCUCAACCUGGAGACGCCACCUGAUACUGCUGUGGCUAGAGUCCGGUAGGGGAGCGUGGAAUUCCUGGUGUAGCGGUGAAAUGCGCAGAUAUCAGGAGGAACACCGGUGGCGAAGGCGGGUCUCUGGGCCGAUACUGACGCUGAGGAGCGAAAGCGUGGGGAGCGAACAGG